AUUUCCUACGGGGGGCAGCAGUGGGGAAUAUUGCACAAUGGGGGAAACCCUGAUGCAGCAACGCCGCGUGAGUGAAGAAGUAUUUCGGUAUGUAAAGCUCUAUCAGCAGGGAAGAAGAUGACGGUACCUGAGUAAGAAGCCCCGGCUAACUACGUGCCAGCAGCCGCGGUAAUACGUAGGGGGCAAGCGUUAUCCGGAUUUACUGGGUGUAAAGGGUGCGUAGGUGGCAGGGCAAGUCUGGAGUGAAAUGCCGGGGCCCAACCCCGGAACUGCUCUGGAAACUGUGAAGCUGGAGUGCAGGAGAG
Molecule: ribosomal RNA, 305 nt
Filed under: uncultured bacterium
Lineage: Bacteria
Description: bacterial SSU rRNA
Rfam family: Bacterial small subunit ribosomal RNA
Source: RNAcentral